RNAcentral lists this long non-coding RNA (5581 nucleotides) under Dermacentor andersoni. RNAcentral's name for it is "uncharacterized LOC126540663". The record is from RNAcentral. Lineage: Eukaryota; Metazoa; Arthropoda; Arachnida; Ixodida; Ixodidae.
UAGCAUCUGCCUUACGGGGCUAUGAGCCAUUUCAUUUUUUGCUUGCUUACAGGAGCAUGAAUGCUCACGGGGUUUGAGCCAUUGAUGAUGAUAGUUUUUGUUCAUGGAGAGCAAAAAUGCACAGACUGAAAGAAAGGCUCAUGGGAGCUAGGCCCUUACCACGUGAUAGGCAAGCAGCAGUUUCUAGCCGAGUGCGUGGAGAGUACGAGAGAGAGUAGAAAGAAGUGUAGGUGGCGAGGGUGAAUUGGGACCAGGGAUUCACGAAAACCUAUCGGGAACCAAAGAAUGCCUCAAAAAGGCCCUCAACCAUGAAGGGCCUACUUCCCAAGUGUCAACGUGCAGAUAGGCCUGAGAGAGAAGGCGGGGCAGCAUCAGAGGAGGUUGGCUUGCUAUGGCUAGCUGUCUGAUGUCAUUCUCCUUCCUAGUUCUUUUUUUUUUCUUCCUCCAUGGAUGUCAAACUGCCAGACUGCUUAGUGCAGUAACACAUGUAGAAGUUGCGAACCUGUAGCUGUCCUUCACUGCCACAAAAUGUUGUACGCGAGUAUGACAAUUAAAUCACAGUGGCUUUAUGCAAUUAAGCACAUGUAUGAUGCAUGCAUAGGAUGCUGUCAAUGUUAAUGGGUUUCUGUCGGGCUGAUCUUGUGCAUCAUACCGUAGUAUUUGAUAAAAUGCCGUGGCUGGACGUGAUGCACGUGAGCUGCAGCACACUCUUUGCUUCACAGGCAUUUUCCUUGGACUGUUCGUACUUUGUGCAAGCUUUAUAUAGCAAAUGUGGAUCAACUGAUAAAAAUGAAAGUGCCAGGAGCAAAACAAAGCUCAGUAAAGUUACCUUAUGGAGGGUGGUCUAACUAACUGGACGUGUCUUGGACGUUCUUGUGAAUGGAUGGCGCUGCAGAUAGUGCGUGUCUGCCUUUUUGCAUACUACCUACAUGCCUUUAAAAAUUGUCGAGAAGCCUCUCAACAUUAUUCAGGAGUUUCCAGCAGUCGUUCUAAUGGCACUGGAGUUUUACAGAAGCAUUGUCUAUGUUCUUUAAACUCACGAGAUUUAGAUGUGGGAUUUUCUAAAUGCGCAUUGAAGCUGGGAGCUCGUAGCUGCCAUUUGCAGUCAUUGAGCUUAAGGUAUAAGGGAGUGACAGAAAUGUGGGUACUUUUUUCUUUCCCACAAAUUUUCAAUGCUUCUGCUACAAAGCUGUGAAACCAUGGAAGUGACUGUUUAUUGGCGAUUGGACAAAAGUCUGGUGUUUGCAUUUACACAAAUGGAGCUCUUGAGAAGAUGACUUUAUUUCUAUGAUCUGUUAUGUUUGUUUGGAUUAUGUAAAACUGCUAGAAUGUGACCAUGGCAACCAUGUAGUGUGGGUGUUUAAUAACUGGGGAUGCUAAUUCAGCUUGUUAAUAUAGCUGUGGCGGUGAAAAACUUUAGGGGAAGCAUUUGCUACCCCUCGUGUUCCUUUGGAAGCUCGAGAGUUUCCUCGCCCACCCGCCUUACCCUCUCUCCCCUUUAGAAGAAUCGUACCUAUAUAUACUAUGCCAAGAAGAGUAUAUAUCUCUUUGAAAAAGACAAGUCCACCUGUCGAAAUGAUGGCUCCUGCUCUCGCCUUGUUCUCGCAUUGCUAAUUGUCUUGAAUUUCCAUCUCCCGCAUUCCCCAUGUGUUCCCUGGAUUUGCAAGCUGCAGUGAAUUGCUGAAAGUUGCACGAAUUGGUAGCUAUUCAUUAUGUAACUGCAGGAAGCUCAACAAACGGGACACAAGGCAAAGGUAACACACAAGUGCCAUUACUCGCGCUUGUGGGUUACCUUUGCCUUGUGUCUCAUUUGUUGUGUGCACUGCAGUUUCAUAAUGAACUGCUGUGAUUAAUCACAUCACUAAAAGCUGAUAGUAUGCUGGCAGUUCUAGCAGGGAACAUGCACUCCUUUUCUUUUGAGUGCAAUGGUAUGCAGUGGUGGUGAGUUGAGGAUCACUGAUGAGCAUUUUGUUACCUCCUUUUGCUUGGUUGUGUACAUUUGUUCACUGUCAGGGAAAACAUAUUUGUCACAUGCAACCACACACAACUUCUCUAUUCUAUCACAUAAUGUUUCCACUACUUCAUGGGAAAAAAAAAAUUUGGCCACUACGGUGCAUUGGGAAGAUGCUUUUCAUUUAUAAAAGGUCUCUGUAGGUCUUCAGUCCAAGUUUUGGGCUGCUAUGUCCACCUGGCAAUUGAGGAAGUGUUUUUUUUUUUUCGAGAGCAGAUGACUAUGGGUGUGCCAAAGCUUUGCAUUCCAUGUUCUGUUUUUGCAAUGAUAGGUUUUUGAGGCCCUUCUCUGAAUGUUAUUAGUCAUUUCUAUUUUUCAACAUAGCUGAAAUCAGCAACAGGCUUUGAAUAAUUCCUUCUUCCUCGGGGUUGAUCCUGGGUCUUGGCAAUGACAUCUCAAAAAUGACGGCCUCCUACACUGCGCAAUAUAGGUAAUUUGUUCAAUAAGUACUCAGUGCUGCAUAAGUGGGAGUGCCAAGCAUAAAUUAUUCUUCCGGCCAAACUGCUGGCUCGUUUCAGACACCUCCGCGGUGGUCACUGCUUGCCAUUGUAGAUAUUUUCUGCAAGAUAGUCUGCGAAAGACAUCACUUUUACUGUGAGCAACAGAGCAAUAGCUUUCACUGUUAGUGCUGCACACUGCGGGGAAGGCUACAACUUUAUUUUGCUCCUAGGAGCACUGCCGUUUAAGCUAGUGGUUGGGCAGGGCACUGAGAGAACAAUGAGAACAUGGAGAGUUCCUUGGCUGUUGCUAUUAAGUUAAUGACAAUAGCUGUCGUCAUUGUCUGACCACCUCCUCAGCUUUUUCCCCGCCAUGGUGUUCAGAAGAACAAAACUCUACCCCCUCCACUGUCCCUUAAAUAUGAACUCAUGUUCUUUUGUUAAUGUGCAGUUAGGGGCUACUGAGCGUUGUAUGAAUGGAAGAACCAGCUGUGCAUAUUUCGUCUUGCUAAACUGCUCACCAAUCUCCACUCAAAUUUCUCAUUGCGGUACCAUUUUGCAUGGGGUUUAAUUAAUUUUCAGGCAUCAUUUUCAGUAGCGUGAAUAUGAGGAGCGGCUAAGGGAAAAGAAACUGCUAUGCGACCAGCGGCAUCCUGCCAAAACUACCACUACUCCCAUUACUACUGUUACUAUAAAUUACUAUUGCUACCAUUACUCUAAAGCAAUAAAGCAUUGCCUACCUCCCUCAGCAGUUGUAGUGGUGGUUUUCAACAGCUUCACAUCCGUAUUGCAGGGGCGGGAUGGCGAGUCAAUUAUUCUAGAGGCCGUAGCAGGCGAUAGUGUAGAUUACAAGGGCACAUUGUGAAUAGCCUGCUGCAGUUCCAGUAUAUAAGUUCCAGAGCUGCAGGGAUCACUGAAGUCUGAUUAUAUUUUUUCUUGCUUGCAGACAAGAGCAGAUAUGUCGGCUACUUGGUGUAUUUCUCUUGAGGUUGUAACUGAGCAGUGCCUCUUGUGGAAGCAAAACCAAAGAAGAUACCUCAUCACUGACAAGGCAGUAGCCCUAUCUGGUGGUGGAUUACGAUACCACUUUUCCAAUACUGGGGCCUGUGAGAUUGGGUGGCGUGCUGUUGGGCCACUUCAGACAACCGUGAGGUCACGAUGACAGGAAAUCUCACCUUCAGCAGUUGUUUUACCAAGGGACUAGACGUUGCAUUAGCAUAUAUGGGCGUGAUGCUGCUGGCUUCCAUCAGUGACUGGGCCUUUGGAUGCUAUGUCCUGGAUGCUUUCACCGGUUUAACGCAACCAGGCCUGCUGGGAAGGUGUGACAGACUGGGGCAACCUAGAAGCUUGGCCCAAUGGUUUGAAAAGUGGAUCUGCACGACGCUGAUGCGGAUCCAUAAACCUCUGUUCAGGUGGCUACCGUAGACAGUGGCUGGGUGGACGACACAAAGCUCUUUGGCCACAGCUUCACAGGAAAUAUAUGGUCCCUGAAAUGGCUUUUGAAAUUCGCCUAGACACAGAGAGUAUCUUUCAAGGAAAGCUUUCUCACAAAAAGUUCAUGUCAGUGCUCUAUAAUAAAACAGCUACGAGUGGUUAUAAAUUAGUUUUGUCAUCUGAAUCCUCUGUGUUCCCCACAACCUUUACACCAGGUGGCCAUCGCCAUGUCCUGCCUCCUUCCUGUGGUGGCACAAUUGUUGUCUACUUCUGGUUUAUUUGAACAACAUUUGUUCUCACAUAUCUUUCACAGGCAGUUUUUCUCAUUAAGCCUAAGCUACACGGAGCAUACUUUAAAGACAAACUUCCCACGGCGAAUGGAGACACGGUAGCACAAAGUGCCAUGUUCGCUGGCUUGCACUACAUGAAUUGAAAAGCGACGGAUGCCACUGUGGGCGCUUGUCGCAGUUUCUGGUAUUCUUUUGGUUUGAUAAUAGCCUGAUAACAUGUAAGUACCCAACACAUACGUCUACAAUUCUCUCUAUGUUAUGCUUGCAAGAGUUGCUUGUAUCCGUCAGCGGUAAAAACAAGCACUGCCAUAGCUAGGCUACAGCUGCUGCUAACUUGUGAAUGGGGAUAAAAUGGGUGAUUCAUAAUGUUUCCUUUUCUGUAGAAUUAAACAGAAAAAAAAGGGAGGCAAAAAAAAUACAGUAGAUCAACAGCUGUAAUUGAACCCACACUGUCCGAGUAAAAGACAGAGACAGUACCACUACACUAAAGUCUACCUCCAGAUGGUGGCUCUCUGAUGGAUGUUUUGUCAUGUUGUAAAUCACGUUCGGAUGCCUUCACAGCACUUUUCUUUCAAGAUCUCAGCUUGUUAGGAGAUUGUUCUGCUACCAUUAAAGGCAAAUUAUACACAAGAAUUGGCUCUCUGACAAAUGCAGAACCUACGGUUACAGCUAAAAGCGGCUUUGCUUUCAAAACCCAGGGUGAACGCUGAUUUGACCAAGGAGGUCGGUGUUGACAUCAAUGUGCGGUGCUUGCAUCUUCUACAGCGUGCAGUCGCUGCAGUUUACUUCCUGCACACACCGGCAGUGCAAUAUGAGCCUAGCACAGCGCUGGUAGCAUUCGUGUUCCUGCUGCCAAAGUGGACAUUGCUACACCUAUUUUCAUUGGGAAUCCCCUCCGCUCCCAUCAGCUGCCAUCGCUACAGCUGCCACAGCUGUAGCAGACGAUCGGCAUUCUCAGGCAGAAGUGGGCCACUGGUUUGAAAAAAACGUCCACAUUUAUUGCACUUGUGUAUAUUUAUUUUUAAGGUUACACAAAUAAUUAUGCGUAUGUAUGGUAUUAAAAAUAAGCCUAAUGAAGCGCCAUGGUUCUGGCAUUGCCGAUGACCUUGUUUGGGCUGCCAAUUGAAUCGCUCGCCCGAGUGACGCUGCUCACCCAAGCUGCAUAGCCUGGGAAGGGUCGGCUGAAAACUAGGGGAAGCGACAUUGCUGAUAUGUAUCUGUGCACAUUUUAAAGCUCUAUAAUCAAUUACAUGCUUUAUGCAUAGCAAUUAGAUAUGCCUUGAAAUGAUCAGGCAGACCUACCCUACGAACUCAGUACUUUUUUUACAUGAUUGUCAAAUUCUUUUCAGAGUCUCUUUAAAUGUUUCCUUAACCACCCCUUCAUCAUCAUCAUCAGCCUGGUUACGCCC